RNAcentral lists this ribosomal RNA (440 nucleotides) under uncultured bacterium. RNAcentral's name for it is "partial 16S ribosomal RNA". It matches the Rfam family "Bacterial small subunit ribosomal RNA", at positions 338 to 795 of the family's 1533-position model. The record is from RNAcentral.
CCUACGGGAGGCAGCAGUGGGGAAUAUUGCACAAUGGGGGAAACCCUGAUGCAGCGACGCCGCGUGAGUGAAGAAGUAAUUCGGUAUGUAAAGCUCUAUCAGCAGGGAAGAAAAUGACGGUACCUGAGUAAGAAGCCCCGGCUAACUACGUGCCAGCAGCCGCGGUAAUACGUAGGGGGCAAGCGUUAUCCGGAUUUACUGGGUGUAAAGGGAGCGUAGACGGCAGUGCAAGUCUGGAGUGAAAGGCGGGGGCUCAACCCCCGGACUGCUCUUGAAACUGUACGGCUGGAGUGCAGGAGAGGUAAGUGGAAUUCCUAGUGUAGCGGUGAAAUGCGUAGAUAUGAGGAGGAACACCAGUGGCGAAGGCGGCUUACUGGACUGUAACUGACGUUGAGGCUCGAAAGCGUGGGGAGCAAACAGGAUUAGAUACCCGGGUAGUC